UACGAAGGGGGCUAGCGUUGCUCGGAAUCACUGGGCGUAAAGCGCACGUAGGCGGGGCUUUAAGUCAGGGGUGAAAUCCCGGAGCUCAACUCCGGAACUGCCUUUGAUACUGGAGAUCUUGAGUCCGGGAGAGGUGAGUGGAACUCCGAGUGUAGAGGUGAAAUUCGUAGAUAUUCGGAAGAACACCAGUGGCGAAGGCGGCUCACUGGCCCGGUACUGACGCUGAGGUGCGAAAGCGUGGGGAGCAAACAGG
RNAcentral lists this ribosomal RNA (253 nucleotides) under uncultured bacterium. Its description in RNAcentral is "partial 16S ribosomal RNA". It matches the Rfam family "Bacterial small subunit ribosomal RNA", at positions 524 to 776 of the family's 1533-position model. The record is from RNAcentral.